CAAUUUAUUAAGUCCCCAACACUCCAUUCCAGUCUGCAUCCCGAGGCAGAAUGGUCAUGCCUUUUCGACGAUGCCGAAGUUCCUUUAAACGCUCUUGCUAAAUAUGUUUCUAAAUAAGGGACGUCCCAUCGUCCCUAUUUACUUGGCCACCCCUGGGGAAAAUAUUGUUUCCAACCUAACAUAUUUAUUAAUUGUUAGGCAACCCAUGUUGCAAUCUUGUUCGUUGCCCCAAACGUGCGUAUGUUUGGUUAUAUAGGUUAUAAUUAAUGUUGACAGAAACAGAAAGUGUUACCCAUUUAUAUACACAAGAAGAAAUUAAGGAAGGAAAAGUAAAAGAUGAAACUGAAGAUUAAAACGAAAUUUCGACCUAAGGGACAAAAUGUGACACAAGUUUUAAAGUCAAGGUGAUUGUACAGUUAAGUCGGAGAACAGAGACAAUUAUUUAAAUAAAAGAAGUUGGAAUGUAAAAAUAAGAUUUAGUUGUUCGAUUAAAACAUUACAAUGAAAUCAUGUGACACAGUGCAUGUGAAGAAAUAAUUAUGAUGCUCAAGUAUUUUCAACAUGAGAUUAAACAAAAUCACCUAUCUGCUUUGGUCAAAAAUGUGACAACAUGAGCUCAAGAUAAGUGUGGAAAAGUUCAUAGUUCAUCUCUGGCAGUUAUCGACAAGAUUCUGGAAUAUGUAUAUCAUCUGCUACAAAAUAUAAGGGCUCAUUAAGACCGAUUUUCUUCAGCCACAAGAGGACAACAAUGCCAACACCACAAAUAAUAGACCACCAGUUAUUGGACAAUUUAAAAUUUCAUAAUGUACAAAAUGGUUCCACAACUAUAUACAUAUUAGGCAAUAUUUUAAGUAACAAAAUAUGCUAAGAU
Molecule: long non-coding RNA, 871 nt
Organism: Aethina tumida (small hive beetle)
Lineage: Eukaryota; Metazoa; Arthropoda; Insecta; Coleoptera; Nitidulidae
Exons: 3
Source: RefSeq, a predicted model, not a curated record